RNAcentral lists this ribosomal RNA (253 nucleotides) under uncultured bacterium. Its description in RNAcentral is "partial 16S ribosomal RNA". It matches the Rfam family "Archaeal small subunit ribosomal RNA", at positions 474 to 727 of the family's 1478-position model. The record is from RNAcentral.
UACCAGCACCCCGAGUGGUCGGGACGUUUAUUGGGCCUAAAGCAUCCGUAGCCGGUUCUACAAGUCUUCCGUUAAAUCCAGCUGCUUAACAGAUGGGCUGCGGAGGAUACUAUGGAGCUAGGAGGCGGGAGAGGCAAGCGGUACUCGAUGGGUAGGGGUAAAAUCCGUUGAUCCAUUGAAGACCACCAGUGGCGAAGGCGGCUUGCCAGAACGCGCUCGACGGUGAGGGAUGAAAGCGGGGGGAGCAAACCGG